GGGGGGAGCAAGCGUUGUUCGGAUUUACUGGGCGUAAAGGGCGCGUAGGCGGCCACCGCAAGUCAAUUGUGAAAUCUCCGGGCUUAACUCGGAAAGGUCAACUGAUACUGCGGGGCUAGAGUGCAGAAGGGGCAACUGGAAUUCUCGGUGUAGCGGUGAAAUGCGUAGAUAUCGAGAGGAACACCUGCGGCGAAGGCGGGUUGCUGGGCUGACACUGACGCUGAAGUGCGAAAGCUAGGGGAGCGAACGGGAUUAGAUACCCCGGUAGUCCUAGCCUUAAACGAUGAAUGCUUGGUGUCUGGGGUUUUAAAGUCCCCGGGUGCCGUCGCUAACGCUUUAAGCAUUCCGCCUGGGGAGUACGGUCGCAAGACUGAA
This 375-nucleotide ribosomal RNA is filed under the name uncultured bacterium. Its description in RNAcentral is "bacterial SSU rRNA". It matches the Rfam family "Bacterial small subunit ribosomal RNA", at positions 527 to 898 of the family's 1533-position model. The record is from RNAcentral.